UGCAGUCGAACGAGAAAGUCACUUCGGUGGCGAGUACAGUGGCGCACGGGUGAGUAACGCGUAGAUGAUCUACCCUUUAGUCUGGGACAACUCUUGGAAACGAGAGCUAAUACCGGAUAAAACCUUCGGGUUGAAAGAUUUAUCGCUGGGGGAUGAGUCUGCGUACCAUUAGCUUGUUGGUGGGGUAACGGCCUACCAAGGCGACGAUGGUUAGCGGGUCUGAGAGGACGAUCCGCCACACUGGAACUGAGACACGGUCCAGACUCCUACGGGAGGCAGCAGUAGGGAAUAUUGCGCAAUGGGGGCAACCCUGACGCAGCAAUGCCGCGUGAGUGAAGAAGGCCUUCGGGUCGUAAAGCUCUUUUAUGGGGGAAGAUGAUGACGGUACCCCAUGAAUAAGCACCGGCUAACUACGUGCCAGCAGCCGCGGUAAUACGUAGGGUGCGAGCGUUGUUCGGAAUUACUGGGCGUAAAGGGCGUGCAGGCGGAUUGGCAAGCCGGAGGUGAAAGCCCGGGGCUCAACCCCGGAGGGUCUUUCGGAACUGCCAGUCUUGAGAGGGUCAGGGGCCAGCGGAAUUCCUGGUGUAGAGGUGAAAUUCGUAGAGAUCAGGAGGAACACCGGCGGCGAAAGCGGCUGGCUGGGGCCACUCUGACGCUGAGGCGCGAAAGCGUGGGGAGCAAACAGGAUUAGAUACCCUGGUAGUCCACGCCGUAAACGAUGGGCACUAAGCGUCCGACGGGUUCGACCCUGUUGGGUGCUGCAGUUAACGCGUUAA
RNAcentral lists this ribosomal RNA (776 nucleotides) under delta proteobacterium SCGC AAA015-I13. Its description in RNAcentral is "SSU rRNA". It matches the Rfam family "Bacterial small subunit ribosomal RNA", at positions 56 to 863 of the family's 1533-position model. The record is from RNAcentral. Lineage: Bacteria; Deltaproteobacteria.